Molecule: long non-coding RNA, 526 nt
Organism: Hydractinia symbiolongicarpus
Lineage: Eukaryota; Metazoa; Cnidaria; Hydrozoa; Anthoathecata; Hydractiniidae
Exons: 2
Source: RefSeq, a predicted model, not a curated record
GAGAACAGACAAAAGAUAUUGCCGAAAGAAACGAUGGUGAAAGCAUUAGAGAACAAAGAAUCCUUACAACAAGUGAAGUGAAGAAACUCAAAGUCGCGAUAACCUAGAUUCACAGCAAGCAUGACGAAUUCAUGGUGGUUCUGUUAAAUUUAAAAUAUGAAAUUAUUGAUAGAUAGACAAUUUGUCAACCAGACCUUAGCUUUUGCAAUCUUAAAGUUAAAGUCCAAUAGACAAGUAAAAAUGAGGGCCUAAAAAUAUUUUUCCGUUCGACUUCCUUUUGAAUAUUUUUCAUUUUGUGUCGUAGUGUAAAACGUUUGUAAUAUUUUUUUGCAUAUUGGGAAAAGCUUCCAAAAGGGAACAAAUCCAUAGGUCAGCUUAUUUUGAUUCACCACACAAAAAGCUUAGGGAUGAAUUUCCCGUAUUUAAAAGCAAUCCAUACACAUUGUUUCAGUAAAUUCGGUCUUUGAAAAAAACACGUUUGGGGAGAUAAUUUACCCGCAUUAAGAAGCAAUCCAUACAAGCAAUC